UACGUAGGCAGCAAGCGUUGUUCGGAGUUACUGGGCGUAAAGGGUGCGUAGGCGGCUUUUUAAGUUUGGUGUGAAAUCUCCCGGCUCAACUGGGAGGUUGCGCCGAAUACUGAGAGGCUAGAGUGUGGGAGAGGAAAGUGGAAUUCCUGGUGUAGCGGUGAAAUGCGUAGAUAUCAGGAGGAACACCGGUGGUGUAAACGGCUUUCUGGACCAUAACUGACGCUGAUGCACGAAAGCGUGGGUAGCAAACAGG
Molecule: ribosomal RNA, 253 nt
Filed under: uncultured bacterium
Lineage: Bacteria
Description: partial 16S ribosomal RNA
Rfam family: Bacterial small subunit ribosomal RNA
Source: RNAcentral